GAUGAACGCUGGCGGCGUGCCUAAUACAUGCAAGUCGAGCGAACAGACGAGGAGCUUGCUCCUCUGACGUUAGCGGCGGACGGGUGAGUAACACGUGGAUAACCUACCUAUAAGACUGGGAUAACUUCGGGAAACCGGAGCUAAUACCGGAUAAUAUAUUGAACCGCAUGGUUCAAUAGUGAAAGACGGUUUUGCUAUCACUUAUAGAUGGAUCCGCGCCGCAUUAGCUCGUUGGUAAGGUAACGGCUUACCAAGGCAACGAUGCGUAGCCGACCUGAGAGGGUGAUCGGCCACACUGGAACUGAGACACGGUCCAGACUCCUACGGGAGGCAGCAGUAGGGAAUCUUCCGCAAUGGGCGAAAGCCUGACGGAGCAACGCCGCGUGAGUGAUGAAGGUCUUCGGAUCGUAAAACUCUGUUAUUAGGGAAGAACAAAUGUGUAAGUAACUAUGCACGUCUUGACGGUACCUAAUCAGAAAGCCACGGCUAACUACGUG
This 497-nucleotide ribosomal RNA is filed under the name uncultured bacterium. Its description in RNAcentral is "partial 16S ribosomal RNA". It matches the Rfam family "Bacterial small subunit ribosomal RNA", at positions 28 to 507 of the family's 1533-position model. The record is from RNAcentral.